Long non-coding RNA from Polypterus senegalus (gray bichir), 141 nucleotides. RefSeq lists it as uncharacterized. NCBI's taxonomy places the organism in Eukaryota, Metazoa, Chordata, Cladistia, Polypteriformes, Polypteridae. The record is from RefSeq and is a predicted model, not a curated record. The transcript is spliced from 3 exons.
CAGCGACUGCAUCUACUAUAUCAAAACUACUUCACCAACAUCCACACCUGCUUCAACGACUGCAUCUACUAUAUCAAAAACUACUUCACCAACAUCCACACCUGCUUCAAGUGACAUAACCAUUGGUGGAAUUGUGGGAGG